Molecule: ribosomal RNA, 511 nt
Filed under: uncultured bacterium
Lineage: Bacteria
Description: bacterial SSU rRNA
Rfam family: Bacterial small subunit ribosomal RNA
Source: RNAcentral
AACGAACGCUGGCGGCGUGCUUAACACAUGCAAGUCGAACGCGAAAGGGGACUUCGGUCCUGAGUAAAGUGGCGCACGGGUGAGUAACGCGUAGAUAACCUGUCUUCAUGUCUGGAAUAAUACGCCGAAAGGGGUACUAAUACCGGAUAUUCUUGCUUUUCAUAAGUUAUGCAAGCAAAGGUGGCCUCUGCAUAUGCUACUGCAUGAAGAGGGGUCUGCGUACCAUUAGCUAGUAGGUGGGGUAAUGGCCUACCUAGGCGACGAUGGUUAGCGGGUCUGAGAGGAUGAUCCGCCACACUGGCACUGGAACACGGGCCAGACUCCUACGGGAGGCAGCAGUGAGGAAUAUUGCGCAAUGGGGGAAACCCUGACGCAGCGACGCCGCGUGAGUGAGGAAGGCCUUCGGGUCGUAAAGCUCUGUCAAGAGGAAAGAAGUGUACAAUGGCUAAUACCUGUUGUAUUUGACGGUACCUCUAAAGGAAGCACCGGCUAACUCCGUGCCAGCCGCAGC